RNAcentral lists this long non-coding RNA (380 nucleotides) under Sorghum bicolor (sorghum). RNAcentral describes it as "long non-coding RNA (SBIC_LNC003920)". Lineage: Eukaryota; Viridiplantae; Streptophyta; Magnoliopsida; Poales; Poaceae. The record is from RNAcentral.
UGGUCGCAUGCAUGAAGCAUUAAAUAUAUACGAAAAUAAAAACUAACUGCACAGUUUAUCUGUAAUUUGUGAGAUGAAUCUUUUGAGCCUAGUUACUCCAUGAUUGGACAAUGUUUGUCAAAUAAAAACGAAAUGCUACAAUACCAAAAAAACAAAAAAAUUUGCGAACUAAACAAGGCCUUAAUGAAGUUGUAUAGGGUUAAAUGCCAAACCAAAUAAACACUACUGCAGUUAUAAAAUUUAACCGUCGACACCAACAAUCAAGAAAUCAAAGUCAAGAAAAACAACCCAUAAAAACAAAACAGGACCCAACUAUUGGCCACCCAUAACCACUACUAUUUGCCUGAUAGUGCAUCAAAGAUGAGAGCUAAAUUGAUUAU